This 447-nucleotide ribosomal RNA is filed under the name uncultured bacterium. Its description in RNAcentral is "bacterial SSU rRNA". It matches the Rfam family "Bacterial small subunit ribosomal RNA", at positions 330 to 794 of the family's 1533-position model. The record is from RNAcentral.
GCCAGACUCCUACGGGAGGCAGCAGUGGGGGAUAUUGCACAAUGGGGGAAACCCUGAUGCAGCGACGCCGCGUGGGUGAAGAAGCGCCUCGGCGCGUAAAGCCCUGUCAGCAGGGAAGAAAAUGACGGUACCUGAAGAAGAAGCCACGGCUAACUACGUGCCAGCAGCCGCGGUAAUACGUAGGUGGCAAGCGUUGUCCGGAUUUACUGGGUGUAAAGGGCGUGUAGCCGGGUUGACAAGUCAGAUGUGAAAUCCUGCGGCUUAACCGCAGAACUGCAUUUGAAACUGUCGAUCUUGAGUACUGGAGAGGCAGACGGAAUUCCUAGUGUAGCGGUGAAAUGCGUAGAUAUUAGGAGGAACACCAGCGGCGAAGGCGGCCUGCUGGACAGCAACUGACGGUGAGGCGCGAAAGCGUGGGGAGCAAACAGGAUUAGAUACCCUAGUACC